CUUAAACGAAGAAAAUUGAAGCCGGAGAAGAGGGCUCUUCAUUUGGAAGGAGCUAUACUAUCUUAUCCAGAUCGUCCAACAAACAAACGAUGGAUCGGUAUCAGAAGGUCGAGAAACCUAGAGCUGAGCAAGCAAUUGAUGAGAAUGAAAUCCGAAUUACUAGCCAGGGGAGGAUGCGAAGCUAUAUCACAUAUGCCAUGACUUUGCUUCAGGAAAAAGGCUCUUCAGAAAUUGUGUUUAAAGCAAUGGGUAGAGCCAUCAACAAGACUGUUACAAUUGUGGAAUUGAUAAAGAGACGAAUUGUUGGUCUUCAUCAAAAUACAUCCAUUGGAUCCACAGACAUAACUGACACUUGGGAACCCUUGGAGGAAGGAUUACUUCCUCUUGAGACCACAAGGCAUGUUUCAAUGAUCACCAUAACUCUCUCCAAGAAGGAGUUGAAUACAUCAUCUAUUGGGUAUCAACCACCAUUGCCUGCUGACCAGGUGAAGGUGUUGAAUGAAUUUGAAUAUGAUGGAGAGGGAUCACCAACUGCAAGGGGAAGGGGUCGUGGUGGGAGGGGAAGGGGAAGGUCUAGAGCUGUACCCGGAAAUGGUUAUGCGCCAGAUGAGUAUGAUGAUGGGGGUUGGGAUGGUCCAAGUGGUUAUCCCAGGGGGAGGGGACGAGGAAGAGGCCGCAAUUUUCGUGGUCGUGGAAGGGGUAGCUAUGGAAAUGCCCCUUUCAUGGAUACUCAGCAGGAUGCAGGAGGAUAUAAUCAAGAAUCCCCUCGUGGCAGGGGUCGCAGUUUCCGUGGUCGUGGAAGGGGGGGUUACAAUAAUGGCCCUUAUAUGGAUACUCAGCAGGAUACUGGGGGGUACAAUCAAGAAUCUCCGAGGGGAAGGGGACGUGGUUUUCGUGGCCGUGGAAGGGGUGGUUACAAUAAUGACCCAUAUAUGGAUUCUCAACAAGAUGCAGGAGGUUACAAUCAAGAAUUUCCCAUGCAAGGGAGAGGGCGUGGUCGUGGGAGGGGAAGUCGUGGAAGAGGUCGCGGGUUCAGAUCAAACAGGCCAAUGCAGGCUGCAGCAACCGGUGGUGGUGAUUGAAAGCAGCAACAAAACCCCCCAUCUUCAUCAAAAACCGUCUCCAUCCCAACUCAGACUCAAAGGUAAUGCUCUCGAUCCUUGCUUUCGUUCUUACUGGGUAAGAUUUUUGGUCCUUGUCAUGUUCAACCUGUAUUGAACCAGUACAUGCUUACCAAGGUAAGUAAGUGUUCAGUAAACGGCCUUUAUGUUGCAUUCACGUGAGUUGCACGUGGAGGCUUUAUCAGUAAAAAUAAUAGUAUAUGCAUUAGCAUUUAAAACCAGCACUUGUCUUUUAUUUGGCAAAGUUGUCUUGUCCGUUUGCUAAUUGAGCUAUAGGUCUGAUACAAUAACGGAUUAUUACUAAGGGGCUGUUUGGUAGAUAUUGGAUUAGUUAGUGCAGAAUGAUUAAGUGAUCAUCAGAAUGACUAAAAGACUAUGAUUUAGUGUCGAAUUGAAAAUGAUUGUUUGGAAAUUGUACUUAAUUAAUAGUAUCAAUGACCUAAAAUUACCAUUUUACUCAGUCUUGUGUUUAGCUAACGUUUGACAAAAGCUUUGAAGGAAAUUUAUAAAUGAAUAAUAGUA
Molecule: RNA transcript, 1643 nt
Organism: Cynara cardunculus var. scolymus (artichoke)
Lineage: Eukaryota; Viridiplantae; Streptophyta; Magnoliopsida; Asterales; Asteraceae
Gene name: guanyl-specific ribonuclease pgl-1-like
Exons: 11
Source: RefSeq, a predicted model, not a curated record